Molecule: ribosomal RNA, 931 nt
Filed under: uncultured archaeon
Lineage: Archaea
Description: bacterial SSU rRNA
Rfam family: Archaeal small subunit ribosomal RNA
Source: RNAcentral
GAUCCCGCCGGACCCCACUGCUAUCGAGGUGGGACUUAGCCAUGCUAGUCGAAUGAACAGAACUAUGUCUGUAAGUGGCAUACUGCUCAGUAACACGUAGCUAACCUACCCUUAGGACGUCGAUAACACCGAGAAAUUGGGGCUAAUAGGCGAUAGGUGUGAUGUCCUGGAAUGGUAUCACGCCCAAAGGUAUCCCAUACAUGUUUGGUAUACGCCUAAGGAUGGGGCUGCGGCCGAUCAGGCUGUUGGUGAGGUAAUGGCUCACCAAACCUUUGACCGGUACGGGCCAUGAGAGUGGUAGCCCGGAGAUGGACACUGAGACAAGGGUCCAGGCCCUACGGGGCGCAGCAGGCGCGAAACCUCCUCAAUGCACUUACGUGCGAAGGGGCUACCUCGAGUGCCACCUGAUGAAGGUGGCUUUUCCUAGGUCUAAAAAGCCUUGGGAAUAAGAGGGGGGCAAGACUGGUGUCAGCCGCCGCGGUAACACCAGCCCCUCGAGUGGUGGGGAUGAUUAUUUGGCCUAAAGCGUCCGUAGCCGGCCGAGCAAGUCUUCCGUUAAAUCCAGCGUCUCAAGCGUUGGACUGCGGGAGAUACUACACGGCUAGAGAGUGGGAGAGGUCAGCGGUAUUCUGGGGGUAGGGGCGAAAUCCUUUGAUCCCCGGAGGACCACCAGUGGCGAAGGCUGCUGACUAGAACACGUCUGACGGUCAGGGACGAAAGCUGGGGUAGCGAACCGGAUUAGAUACCCGGGUAGUCCCAGCCGUAAACGAUGCAUGCUAGGUGUUGGGUUGGCCACGAGCCACCCCAGUGCCGCAGGGAAGCCGUUAAGCAUGCCGCCUGGGAAGUACGAUCGCAAGAUUGAAACUUAAAGGAAUUGGCGGGGGAGCACCACCAGGCGUGAAGCCUGCGGUUUAAUUGGAGUCAACGCCGG